CCUACGGGUGGCAGCAGUGGGGGAUAUUGCACAAUGGGGGGAACCCUGAUGCAGCGACGCCGCGUGAGCGAUGAAGUAUUUCGGUAUGUAAAGCUCUAUCAGCAGGGAAGAAAAUGACGGUACCUGACUAAGAAGCCCCGGCUAACUACGUGCCAGCAGCCGCGGUAAUACGUAGGGGGCAAGCGUUAUCCGGAUUUACUGGGUGUAAAGGGAGCGUAGACGGCAGUGCAAGUCUGAAGUGAAAGGCAAGGGCUCAACCUUUGGACUGCUUUGGAAACUGUGCGGCUGGAGUGUAGGAGAGGUAAGUGGAAGUCCUAGUGUAGCGGUGAAAUGCGUAGAUAUUAGGAGGAACACCAGUGGCGAAGGCGGCUUACUGGACGGUGACUGACGUUGAGGCUCGAAAGCGUGGGGAGCAAACAGGAUUAGAUACCCCAGUAGUC
This 440-nucleotide ribosomal RNA is filed under the name uncultured bacterium. Its description in RNAcentral is "partial 16S ribosomal RNA". It matches the Rfam family "Bacterial small subunit ribosomal RNA", at positions 338 to 795 of the family's 1533-position model. The record is from RNAcentral.